This 468-nucleotide ribosomal RNA is filed under the name uncultured bacterium. RNAcentral describes it as "partial 16S ribosomal RNA". It matches the Rfam family "Bacterial small subunit ribosomal RNA", at positions 28 to 507 of the family's 1533-position model. The record is from RNAcentral.
GACGAACGCUGGCGGCGUGCUUAACACAUGCAAGUCGAACGGAAAGGCCCUGCUUUUGUGGGGUGCUCGAGUGGCGAACGGGUGAGUAACACGUGAGUAACCUGCCCUUGACUUUGGGAUAACUUCAGGAAACUGGGGCUAAUACCGGAUAGGAGCUCCUGCUGCAUGGUGGGGGUUGGAAAGUUUCGGCGGUUGGGGAUGGACUGGCGGCUUAUCAGCUUGUUGGUGGGGUAGUGGCUUACCAAGGCAUUGACGGGUAGCCUGCCUGAGAGGGUGACCUGCCACGUUACGACGGGAAUACGGCCCAGACUCGAACGGGAGGCAACGGAGGAGAGGAUAGCACAAUGGGCUGAAGCAUGAUGCAGCAACGCCACGUGCGGUAAGACAGGCUUCGGGUUGUAUUGCGCAGUCGCCUGAGACGAAGCGAGAGUGACGGUAAUGGGUAAAGAAGCACCGGCUAACUACGUG